GAUCAUGGCUCAGGACGAACGCUGGCGGCGUGCUUAACACAUGCAAGUCGAACGAGAAUCACUGGAAGGAGUUUUCGGACAACGGAAGGUGAGGACAGUGGCGGACGGGUGAGUAACGCGUGAGGAACCUGCCUUUCAGAGGGGGACGAACAGUUGGAAACGACUGCUAAUACCGCAUGACACAUAGAGAUCGCAUGGUUUUUAUUGUCAAAGAUUUAUCGCUGAAAGAUGGCCUCGCGU
RNAcentral lists this ribosomal RNA (240 nucleotides) under uncultured bacterium. RNAcentral describes it as "partial 16S ribosomal RNA". It matches the Rfam family "Bacterial small subunit ribosomal RNA", at positions 15 to 236 of the family's 1533-position model. The record is from RNAcentral.